This 465-nucleotide ribosomal RNA is filed under the name uncultured bacterium. Its description in RNAcentral is "partial 16S ribosomal RNA". It matches the Rfam family "Bacterial small subunit ribosomal RNA", at positions 28 to 507 of the family's 1533-position model. The record is from RNAcentral.
GACGAACGCUGGCGGCGUGCUUAACACAUGCAAGUCGAACGGAAAGGCCCUGCUUGCAGGGUACUCGAGUGGCGAACGGGUGAGUAACACGUGGGUGAUCUGCCCUGCACUUCGGGAUAAGCCUGGGAAACUGGGUCUAAUACCGGAUAGGAGCCAUUUUUAGUGUGAUUGUUGGAAAGUUUUUUCGGUGUAGGCUGAGCUCGCGGCCUAUCAGCUUGUUGGUGGGGUAAUGGCCUACCAAGGCGGCGACGGGUAGCCGGCCUGAGAGGGUGGACGGCCACAUUGGGACUGAGAUACGGCCCAGACUCCUACGGGAGGCAGCAGUGGGGAAUAUUGCACAAUGGGCGCAAGCCUGAUGCAGCGACGCCGCGUGGGGGAUGACGGCCUUCGGGUUGUAAACUCCUUUCGCUAGGGACGAAGCUUUUUGUGACGGUACCUAGAUAAGAAGCACCGGCUAACUACGUG